AGGGCUACAGCUCAGUGGUAAAGAGUGUGCUUAGUAUGCAUGAGGUCCUGGGUUCAAUCCCCAGUACCUCCA
Camelus ferus (Wild Bactrian camel) is the source of this 72-nucleotide transfer RNA. It matches the Rfam family "tRNA". Rfam says of the family: Transfer RNA (tRNA) molecules are approximately 80 nucleotides in length. The record is from Rfam. NCBI's taxonomy places the organism in Eukaryota, Metazoa, Chordata, Mammalia, Artiodactyla, Camelidae.